This 788-nucleotide ribosomal RNA is filed under the name Leptogium malmei. Its description in RNAcentral is "SSU rRNA". It matches the Rfam family "Bacterial small subunit ribosomal RNA", at positions 366 to 1218 of the family's 1533-position model. Lineage: Eukaryota; Fungi; Ascomycota; Lecanoromycetes; Peltigerales; Collemataceae. The record is from RNAcentral.
GGUCAAUAGCCUAACGGCUGAACCAGCAACUUGGAGGAAUGUAUAGCUAAAGCUAAUUGUAUUUUUUUUUAAAGACAGAUUCGAUUUAAUCGUAUAAAGUUCUAGGUAGAAUUAUGAUAAUGACGUUAUCUAUCUAUAAGUCUUGACCAACAUGCGUGCCAGCAGUCGCGGCAAGACGCUAAAGACUAGUGUUAUUCAUCUUUAAUAGGUUUAAAGGGUACCUAGACGGUAAAUCAAGCCUUAACCGGAACUAAUUUAACUAGAGUUAGAUGUAAGGGUGCAUUAACGUACUGUUGAGUGUAGAGAUGAAAUUCUUUGAUACCAGAUGAUUGGCACGGGUUUAGGCGAAAGCAUCACCUUAUGUAAUAACUGACGUUGAGGGACGAAGGCUUUGUAUCGCGAACAGGAUUAGGCACCCCAGUAGUCUAAGCAGAAAAUGAUGAGUGUCAUAGGUUAAAUAAAAUAUUAAUUAAUCUAUAAAUGAAAGUGUAAGCAUUCCACCUCAAGAGUAAUUUGGCAACAUUGGAAUUGAAAUCAUUAGACCGUUUCUGAAACCAGUAGUGAAGUAUGUUGUUUAAUUAGAUUAUACACAAAGAACCUUACCACAAUAUGAAUAUUAUACAAGCGUUGCACGGCUGUCUUCAGUUAAUGUCGUGAGAUUGUGGCUAGUACCAUUAAUUAACGUCUACCCUUGCUUUAUUUUAUUAUAUAUAAAGUAGUCCGCCACUAUAAAGGAUAGAUAAUAGGGAGUAAGACAAGUCAUCAUGGCCUUAAUAUUGUGGGCUAUA